GCCCCGGUGGCUCAGCGGUAGAGCGGCGGACUCGUAAUCCGCAGGUCCCGGGUUCAAAUCCCGGCCGGGGCU
Molecule: transfer RNA, 72 nt
Filed under: Nanoarchaeota archaeon NZ13-N
Lineage: Archaea; Nanobdellati; Nanobdellota
Also listed under: 1 other name
Description: tRNA-Thr
Rfam family: tRNA
About the family: Transfer RNA (tRNA) molecules are approximately 80 nucleotides in length.
Source: RNAcentral